This is a non-coding RNA of Pelobates cultripes (western spadefoot toad), 278 nucleotides long. The record is from the annotation of a GenBank genome assembly. Lineage: Eukaryota; Metazoa; Chordata; Amphibia; Anura; Pelobatidae.
AUUCUUGAGACAACGAGAAUCCUUUUGGAUCUUUAGAUUAAAAACCCUAAGCCCUAGGGGUCUUAACGAGGGGUUCUAGUUUUCCCCUUUCUAAUGAAUAUGGGUGAACUACAGCUUUUUACAAAGCCGGACACAUUUACACAAUGUGUUCAUAGUGAUUGGCACAAAUGGUAUCUAUAGUCAAUAGCAACAUUUAUAAUGACUGAAUUUAGGCUGUUCUAUAAGAUGUUAUUUUCCUGUACCUGUUUUCAGUUUAGACAUGUACUUUAUCGGUUAAG